This 316-nucleotide small RNA is filed under the name uncultured Glomus. RNAcentral's name for it is "SSU rRNA". It matches the Rfam family "Eukaryotic small subunit ribosomal RNA", at positions 569 to 890 of the family's 1831-position model. Lineage: Eukaryota; Fungi; Glomeromycota; Glomeromycetes; Glomerales; Glomeraceae. The record is from RNAcentral.
AGCAGCCGCGGUAAUUCCAGCUCCAAUAGCGUAUAUUAAAGUUGUUGCAGUUAAAAAGCUCGUAGUUGAAUUUCGGGAUCAGCAGGUUGGUCGUGCCUACGGUAUGAACUGGCCUUGCUGAUUCCUCCCUCUUGAUGAGCCGUAAUGCCAUUAAUUUGGUGUUGCGGGGAAUCAGGACUGUUACUUUGAAAAAUUAGAGUAGUUUAAAGCAGGCAAGCGCUUGAAUACAUUAGCAUGGAAUAAUGAAAUAGGACGUUUGAUCCUAUUUUGUUGGUUCUAGGAUUGACGUAAUGAUUAAUAGGGAUAGUUGGGGGCA